RNAcentral lists this ribosomal RNA (865 nucleotides) under uncultured bacterium. Its description in RNAcentral is "bacterial SSU rRNA". It matches the Rfam family "Bacterial small subunit ribosomal RNA", at positions 26 to 901 of the family's 1533-position model. The record is from RNAcentral.
AGGAUGAACGCGGGCGGCGUGCCUAAUACAUGCAAGUCGAACGAGAUGCUUUUGUAGCAAUACGAGAGUAUUCUAGUGGCGAACGGGUGAGUAACGCGUUGGUGACCUACCCCAAAGUGUGGGAUAACAGUCCGAAAGGAUUGCUAAUACCGCAUGUGGUCUUCGGAUUUAGAAACCGAUGACUAAAGGAGCAAUUCGCUUUGGGAGGGACCUGCGUCCCAUCAGCUAGUUGGUGAGGUAAUGGCUCACCAAGGCGACGACGGGUAGGGGACCUGAGAGGGUGACCCCCCACAAUGGAACUGAAACACGGUCCAUACACCUACGGGUGGCAGCAGUAGGGAAUAUUGCUCAAUGGGCGAAAGCCUGAAGCAGCAACGCCGCGUGUGCGAUGAAGGCCUUCGGGUCGUAAAGCACUUUUCUGAGAGAUGAGAAAGGACAGUAUCUCAGGAAUAAGUCUCGGCUAACUACGUGCCAGCAGCCGCGGUAAAACGUAGGAGGCAAGCGUUAUCCGGAUUCACUGGGCGUAAAGCGCGUGCAGGCGGUGCGGUAAGUUGGGCGUGAAAUCUCCCGGCUCAACUGGGAGAGGUCGUCCAAUACUACCGUACUUGAGAGCAGAAGAGGAAAAUGGAAUUCCCGGUGUAGUGGUGAAAUGCGUAGAUAUCGGGAGGAACACCAGUGGCGAAGGCGAUUUUCUGGUCUGUUUCUGACGCUCAGACGCGACAGCUAGGGUAGUAAACGGGAUUAGAGACCCCGGUAAUCCUAGCCGUAAACGAUGUGAACUUGGCGUUGGUGGGUUAAACUCCAUCAGUGCCGCAGCAAACGCGAUAAGUUCACCGCCUGGGGACUACGGCCGCAGGGUUAAACU